Molecule: ribosomal RNA, 464 nt
Filed under: uncultured bacterium
Lineage: Bacteria
Description: partial 16S ribosomal RNA
Rfam family: Bacterial small subunit ribosomal RNA
Source: RNAcentral
ACGAACGCUGGCGGCGUGCUUAACACAUGCAAUUCGAACGGAAAGGCCCCCUUGUGGGGUACUCGAGUGGCGAACGGGUGAGUAACACGUGAGUAACCUACCCUUGACUUUGGGAUAACUUCAGGAAACUGGGGCUAAUACCGGAUAGGAGCUCCUGCUGCAUGGUGGGGGUUGGAAAGUUUCGGCGGUUGGGGAUGGGCUCGCGGCUUAUCAGCUUGUUGGUGGGGUAGUGGCUCACCAAGGCUUUGACGGGUAGCCGGCCUGAGAGGGUGACCGGCCACAUUGGGACUGAGAUACGGCCCAGACUCCUACGGGAGGCAGCAGUGGGGAAUAUUGCACAAUGGGCGGAAGCCUGAUGCAGCAACGCCGCGUGCGGGAUGACGGCCUUCGGGUUGUAAACCGCUUUCGCCUGUGACGAAGCGUGAGUGACGGUAAUGGGUAAAGAAGCACCGGCUAACUACGUG